GUGUAGUCCACGCUGUGUAUAGCUAUACUGCUGUGUAGACCACGCUGUGUAUAGCUAUACUGCUGUGUAGACUACACAGAUCUUCAGGUGGAUAGACAGUUGAAAAGGGAAAUGGUGGGGUUUAUUUUAAUCUUCAGUCUACUGUAAUAAAUUGAAUAGCAGACUCCAAACAUAUUUGUGAGAAAUCUAUUCAUGUGUGAGGUAAAAGCACUAUUUUGCCUCCAUUUUGAUCACAAAUAAAAUUGUCAUUCUGUUUGCAAGACUUUCAUUUUCAGGUGAGGGAGGUGAAUUUUGCCACAAUAUGUUGCUUAUGUUAAUAGCAAAAUAAUGAAAUUGAUUUUAAUUUUUAAAUGUAAACAAUCAAUGCAAAUCAUCCCAGUAGUAAAAAAGACACAGUGAUAAAGAAAAAAAAAAAAACAUACCUGUAAUUUUAAUGGAGGUGAAUUUUGCCACAAUAUGUUGCUUAAGUUAAUAGCAAAAUAAUGAAAUUGAUUUUAAUUUUUAAAUGUAAACAAUCAAUGCAAAUCAUCCCAGUAGUAAAAAAGACACAGUGAUAAAGAAAAAAAAAAA
This is a long non-coding RNA of Polyodon spathula (Mississippi paddlefish), 570 nucleotides long. RefSeq lists it as uncharacterized. The record is from RefSeq and is a predicted model, not a curated record. The transcript has 2 exons. NCBI's taxonomy places the organism in Eukaryota, Metazoa, Chordata, Actinopteri, Acipenseriformes, Polyodontidae.